UUAGGUGGAUACCUUUUUGGAUUAUGAUAAUUUAUCAAAGGGAAUUGUCUUUACUACAGAUCGGCCGUAUCAACCAGGUGAGCAGGUGUUCAUUUCAUAUGGAAAAAAAUCAAAUGGGGAGCUUCUAUUAUCGUAUGGGUUUGUUCCAAGGGAAGGCGCCAAUCCUUGUGAUUCAGUUGAGUUGUCAGUGUCACUCAAGAAAUCUGAUCAAUCCUACAAGGAGAAAUUAGAACUCUUGAAGAAGUAUGGAUUAUCAGGGUGACUAAUGAUUUUAUUAGAAGAUACUUUUAUUGGCUAAGUGAUAUUAUGGUUUUGAUAUGGCUAUGCUUACUUUAGUUUGAGAUG
Molecule: non-coding RNA, 345 nt
Organism: Arachis ipaensis
Lineage: Eukaryota; Viridiplantae; Streptophyta; Magnoliopsida; Fabales; Fabaceae
Source: RefSeq, a predicted model, not a curated record